GUGCCAGCCGCCGCGGUAAUACGAAGGGGGCUAGCGUUGCUCGGAAUUACUGGGCGUAAAGGGCGCGUAGGCGGAUGUUUAAGUUGGGGGUGAAAGCCCGGGGCUCAACCUCGGAACAGCCUUCAAUACUGGACAUCUUGAGUACGGGAGAGGUGAGUGGAACUCCGAGUGUAGAGGUGAAAUUCGUAGAUAUUCGGAAGAACACCAGUGGCGAAGGCGACUCACUGGCCCGUUACUGACGCUGAGGCGCGAAAGCGUGGGGAGCAAACAGGAUUAGAUACCCCCGUAGUCC
This 292-nucleotide ribosomal RNA is filed under the name uncultured bacterium. RNAcentral describes it as "partial 16S ribosomal RNA". It matches the Rfam family "Bacterial small subunit ribosomal RNA", at positions 505 to 796 of the family's 1533-position model. The record is from RNAcentral.